Molecule: non-coding RNA, 153 nt
Filed under: uncultured Sporolactobacillus sp.
Lineage: Bacteria; Bacillati; Bacillota; Bacilli; Caryophanales; Sporolactobacillaceae
Source: RNAcentral
UCCGCGGGGGAGAAUCUGAAGGAAAUCCAAGGCAGAAUGCAGAGCUGAUGUCCACGAACGCUAUCCGUCAUGGAUAAGGCUGCCAAACCAGUCGAAGUCCGAUACCGCUCGAGGUGAUACGCAGUAAAACUGGCAGCUCAAUGGCGCGAAAGG